ACUGGUGUGGGAAUAACCAAGGCCCCGGUCAGCAACAGCAGGUGCAGAAGACCGAAAGCCAGGGAACGAUCUCUGAGGUCCGGAGACGGCGGGAAUCUGGAGUGAGGUGCAGGCCAAGGCCGCCCCAGCCCUGCCUGGUCUCCACUCUGCAGGGGGAAGACCCGUAGCAGCUCCUGCCAGGCCCGCGGCAAUGUUCCAUUAUUAGAGAAAUGCAACCUGGCCACCUCGAGGAGCUCUCCUGACGCCCCCCUCGGCCAACCAGGCCCCCUGGGCUCCCCCUCCCCCCUCGGCCAGCCAGGGCUGCUGCUGCUGACUUAAAACGCUGCCCUCCAUUCUAUCUUUAGCUCUGGCUGCUGGGAGCCUGAGUGACAGGCAGGGUGGGGGCCUGUGCUGGGGUGGGGAAAUUUUACAGCUGCCGGGUUUGCUGAGAAGGUGGCACUGACUGCAAGGAGCGGGGCCCAUGUGAUAUUCACUGCUCCAUCUGAGGUCAGGGCCACGGCAGGACCGGGUUCCGCUCACGUGUGCGGGGCGGGGAUGGAUGGAUGGGUGGGUGCAUCCAUGCAUGGAUGGAGCAGAGGCCCUGAGGAGGGAAAGACAGCAAGGCCAGCUGGUCCACAGACCAAGAGGACAUGGACCUCGAAGGAACUCCGUGUGACUCUGGUGCUGGGGACUGAGCCAAGAGCCCUGCUCGUGUCAGCAGGUGGCAAGAAUAGCCCGUCAGCCUCCUCUGUCAGGACUGAUGUGAAAAUCCCUCCUCUGCACGGAGGCACACAGCGAGCUCCCACGCAGCCAAUUACUGUUUUCCAGGUCUGGAAGAGGCUGGCGACACAGAGGGGAGGCAGAGUCGGGACACACCCCGGGGGAGCAUGCCAGGGCGCAGCAGGAUCCAGCGGCCCAGCUGAACGAGUGAGGCCAGGAAAUAAGGUCCCUGGCAAGCCAGGAAGGCGCCCGCCUGGGUCUCGGUCCGGCCUCCCGCACUCAGCUCCCAGUGUGACACAAGCUCCUGCGUGGACGCUGUGCCCCGGCUUCUGCUCUUCCCACACACCGCCUGGGCUUCUGCUCGGAAGCCUGCUGCGGGUCCAGCAGUGCCUCGCACUGUGCCCGGCUUACUCACGGGGACUGCCCGGGCCCACUGCCUGCUCGCUGACCCGGCUCCCACGCUCAGACGCCGACGUGGCUCCGUCCGUAGACGACCAGCUUUCUACUUCCCCCUCUUGCAGACCCCCGCAGCACCUCCCUUCUCUGCCCAGUCAUGGCAUGCCCUGUGAACAGCAGGUCACUGCCUCCUCCCCGCCCGGAAGCCGCAGUACUCUCAGACUAACACGAUCGGCCGCUCCGCUGGGGGUGCACAGAUGAGGGGUGUGUGUGCAGGUUCCGUCACGUCCCUCCAGGGUCACCCUUCCCGCAGGGACCGUGCUGGUUCCCCUGGGAGGUGGGCCCGGGCCGCUGUCUGACUGGCAGCUUUGUUUUGGGGGAGGACGACCAGUGCAGGUUUGCCAUCUGGAAGACGGCAGGACGGAGUCAGGUGAGAGGACCAGCUACAGUGGCCUUUCCGACAGCAGGGCUUCCCCAGGGCCCUGUCAUGAAACCAGGGCCGCGUGGUGUCUGCCAGCCCCAUUCCACAGCACUCCUCCCCGCAUGCCAGGCGAGGUGCAGACACAGCCACUUGUCACCUGCAGGGUGGCUUGGACCGCUUGGGCUCCUGCACACUGCUGAGGGGUGAGGGGUGGGGGCGAUUUGGGGCACGGAGUCGGCUCAGCACACGGUCCGGGCUGUUGUGUGGUUUUAUUAUUUAUUUAUUUAUUUUUUCCGGUACCAGGAAUCGAACUCACGACCUUGCGCUCGCCGGGCAGGCGCUGUGCCGCUGAGCUAAGUCCCCAGCCCCCUGUUGUGUGGUUUUAGAUGCAGAGAUGCGAGCGCCGUGUGUGUCUGCUGCACAGUCUGCCGGUUUAACUCAGAUUAACCUUUAGGCGCUUUCCGGCCUGUGAUCUCUUUGUUUAUUAGAAAAUGAAAAGCUCCCCCUGCCAGCAAUUAAUUUACCAAAAUAAACAAGAUUUCUGCUUUUCGUGACAAAGACAGUCCCUGAAUGCCAAUCUCAGGGCUGCCAGAUUGCAGUUUCAAGAGGGCGCAGGCAGCGCGGGUACGGCGGGCAGGUGGUUCACUGCGGAGCCGACGCGCAGAGGAGAAGCCCGCUCAAGGGGGUCUGGGGGAAGCACCGCCCGGGUUCCGUCCGCCUCAAAUUUUCUGGCAGCAAAUCUCCGUGCUCCCACCCUCUUGGCUCCCACCCUCCCUUUUCUCACUGCAGAUGGUUCUCGGUGUUUUCCCUGUCCUGUUUGGUUUAUCCCAGCUCCUUCCUGACAUGGGCGCGGCCCGAUCCUCUGCUGCCACCACUUCGCUGCCCAUCGGCCGCUCGAGGCGUUUGCUGGCCUGAUCCUCUCGUCCAAGAGCCGCUCCUGGGGCCGGUGACCGGACAGACAGGGUCCAGACUGCAGGCCCCACCUCGCUUCUCCGCUAGGCCCUGCGUGGCCAGGGCAGGACAGAGGAGGCAGAGCCGCCUGGAAGCUCAGGAGGGUGAGACGGAUGUGCUCAGGGAGGCAGAGCGCAGAGCGGGGCUGGGGGUGGAGGCGCUGAGUGGCACCAGCCCAAGACCGUUAGAGACCACACUGCGGGGGUUCAAAGCGGCCCGAUUAAGCCUGGGAACAUUGACUUCCUCCUCUCAGCCCCGCUGGGAACCAGCCCUGUGAUCACAGAGCGAUCAUGGCUGCUGCUGUCCCAGGCCCAGCACGCCCCUGGGUGGGGAGAGAAGGACUCACCAGUCCUCCUCAGACACCGACUCCUCCAACUGCCCACCUCGCCGGGCUGCUUCUGAGGACGCUGCUGCUCCAGCUCAGCAGUGUGCGUGCUUAUCUGUCCUGGGGUUUUAUCUACUCGGUCCCGGGGAUUCCCGGCGGAUCAGUGAGGUGGGUGGGCCUGGCUUCACGGUGCCUGGGGUUCAAAACAGACUCAGCCGCAGCGUCCCGGCACUCGCGGUUCUCCUGGAGUCCAGAUAAACACGGGAGUCUGUCCCAGAACAGGCUGGUCACAGCACCCCAGGGAGUCUUCUCACCUGGAUCCUUUGAAGAGACACAAGUGGCCCCAAGUCUCUUUGGCGGGGUGGCUAGGAAAAGGACUCUUGAUAACAUUUAAUUAGCAGUUUACAGUCCAGACUCAAUGAGCUGUUUGCUAUGGACUGAGUUCAGCCCGGGAUGUCCAACUACUGUGCCCGCAGGGUACUGCGUCAGGUCUCAGUGGGAGUGGUGUGUGGUACAAAACGAACAAGAAGUUUUGCCAGUGGAGAACCUGUCCUCCGUGCACUCUUCCCUGCUUCCUCCCCUCCCCUCCCCUCGCCUGCGUGCGGGGGAUGGGACCCAGAGUCUUGGGCACUAGGCAAGCACUCCGCCACUGAGCUACACUCCCAGCCCUGGGCAUUUCUGAUAACAUUUGAUUUCUAAAGCGAGCUCAUGAGCAACCCUUUGGCAUAUACUUUUCUUCCCCUGCAUUUUCUGACAUGGCCUGUCAUCUGGCCUUGAACUCACUGUGCAGCCCAGGCUGGCCUCGAACUAGUGGCACUCCUCCUGCCUCAGCCUCCCGAGGGCGGGGAUUACAGGCGUGCACCCCGAUGCCUGGAUUGGUAUAUACAGCGGUACUUUGAUGCACGGAUAAUUCUUGUACUCUUUCCCUGACCUAUCUGUUAAAGUCGUGGCACGAA
RNA transcript from Chinchilla lanigera (long-tailed chinchilla), 3748 nucleotides. RefSeq lists it as uncharacterized. The transcript is spliced from 6 exons. Lineage: Eukaryota; Metazoa; Chordata; Mammalia; Rodentia; Chinchillidae. The record is from RefSeq and is a predicted model, not a curated record.